UUCGCCAUCAAAUCUCAAAGAAGAAGAAGAAGCAGAAGGUGGAGGAGACGUUACAGAAAUACAAUAUUUAGAGAAAGCUUUUCUAAAUGUUCUCGAAUGGCUGAGGCCUCGGGGCAAGGCACAGAACAACCUAAUUAUGUACCAGGGAGGACCGGCCAGGCAGCGUCCGGAAGGGGUCAUCCACGGUCAGGCCACAAUAGAAAACGGGGAGGUCAUAGGGGAGGUCAUCUAGAGGAGCAAAAUGAAUUAUAUGACUAUGAAGCAAAACACGCAUCACACAACAGCUCAUCUGCUAGAUUUGAGACAAGGGGAGGGAGGGGAAGAGGAAGAGGAGGGAGGGGAGGUAGGGGUAAUAGUGAGCGUUGGUCCCAGGGUCAACGAUGGUCAAGGAAUGAGAGUGAUAAUGGCUCCUCAGUGCAGGACAACAGAUCUGACCUUGGCCAACAGUUUAGCGGCUUACCUGCGUACUCCAAUAGGGAGAAUCAACAAAAAUACCCUGAAGAAGCAUGCAUGCGCGAGUUCCAACAUGAGCCCAAAGACAGCUGGCCACGAAUGUCUAGGAGAGGUCGAGAUACAAGAAAGCCGUUACCCAGACUGGGAGCAAAUCAGGAUGAUCAUGCAGCAGAUGUAGAUCAUACAGCCAGUGUAGUGGCCACCGAAUUAGAGCACGAACACAGGAACAAUAGGGGAUGGAGAGGAGGAGGAAGGCAGGGUCACUCUUGGAAGAAGGGGCCUGCUGUACACGCUAGCGACCAAGGCAACUGGAGAGAGAGACCACCACCACCAACGCACACGGACAAGGCAGAGGAAGAGAAAGUGAGAGAAGACAAACCCAGAGGAAGCAAAGAGGAGCCGAACUGGAGAGGUGCAAGUACAAAAGAGCAUGGGAGAAGACCUCAAAAUCAAGAGCAAGGACAAAGGAAAGGAGGACGUCCCGAGAAGAGGACUGGGCCGGUGAAACGUGUCGAGCUGCCCAAGAGCAAAGAGACCCAGACCGGUUGCCUGAUUGAGCAGCUGACAGAGGAGAAAUACGAGUGCAUGGUGUGCUGCGAUGUGAUCCGUCUCAUGGCACCGGUAUGGAGCUGUAACAGCUGCUUCCACGUCUUCCACCUGAACUGCAUCAAAAAGUGGGCUCGCUCUCCUGCGUCGCAGGCUGAUGAGAGUGGCGAAGGCUGGCGUUGUCCUGCUUGCCAAAAUGUGGCAUUGAAGUUCCCAACAUCUUACAUCUGCUUCUGUGGGAAGGUGACCAAUCCGGAGUACCAGCACAGAGAGAUUCCACACAGCUGUGGUGAAGUAUGUGGGAAGAAGAGGACUGGUGGAGACUGCAUUCACCGCUGCAACAUUUUGUGCCACCCAGGGCCUUGUCCACAGUGUCCAGCGUUUACUACUAAAUCCUGCGUUUGUGGAAGAACCAGUAAGCAGGUGCGAUGCAGUCAGACAGGAGCUCUGCGCUGUGACCAGGAGUGUGGAGCUCAGUUAAAUUGCAAACAGCACUGCUGUACACAGAUUUGCCAUCAGGUCCCGUGUCAGCCAUGUCAGCUCAGUGUGCAGCAGGUCUGUUACUGCGGGGUGGUGCACAGGGAGGUGGCAUGUGGGACUGACCAGGAGAACUUUGAUGGGUCCGGAUAUUUCUCCUGCCACAAGCCAUGUGGAAAGAUGCUGGAAUGCCAUGCUCACCGCUGCCAGAAGGUGUGUCACCCAGGACGGUGCCAGACAUGCCCUCUCUUGCCCAUUCUGGUGUCUAGCUGCCCUUGUGGACAGACGCCUUUAGCCAAGCUGCUGGAGCUCGGCUACCCAGAGAGACGAUGCUGCACCGACCCAAUUCCAUCCUGUGGAAAGGUCUGCAGCAAACCAUUGCCUUGUGGUGACAUCGACACCAUUCAUUUUUGUGAUAAACUUUGCCAUGAGGACAAAUGUGGCCCAUGCCCUCUCACAUCCACCGUUAAGUGCAGAUGUGGCAGUAAGAGCAAGGAGGUUCCAUGUGCUAUGAUCCACAGUGAAGACGAAUUGCUGUUUACUUGUGAGAAACGUUGCAGUAAGAAGCGCUCAUGUGGCAGACACAAGUGUGGAGAGAUGUGCUGUGUGGACUCGAAGCAUAAGUGCACAAUUAUCUGUGGCUACAAGCUUAACUGUGGUCUUCACCGCUGUCAGGAGGUGUGUCACAGAGGAAACUGCCAACCCUGCUGGCAAACCGGUUUUGAUGAACUGCCCUGCUACUGUGGUGAAACAGUCAUGUUCCCACCUAUCCCCUGUGGCACCAAACCACCUGAGUGCAAAAACACCUGCACACGCCAACAUGACUGUGAUCACCCAGUUUUGCACUCCUGCCACAGUGAGGAGAAAUGUCCUCCCUGUACCCACCUCACCAAGAAGUGGUGCAUGGGCAACCAUGAGCAAAGAAGUAAUAUCCCGUGCCACCUGCAGGAUAUCUCGUGUGGUUUGGUCUGUAAUAAAUUAUUGUCCUGUAGUCAUCACCGAUGCAAAAGAAUAUGCCAUCGUGGAGAAUGCCAAGUUGAAGGUGAUUGUAAGCAGCCUUGCCCUCACCCCAGACCUGAGUGUGGGCACCCCUGUAAUGCCCCAUGCCACCCUGGCACCCCCUGCCCACACACCACUUGCAAUGCCAAGGUGGCAAUGCAGUGCGAUUGUGGCCGCAGGAAGGAGACUAUUCCUUGCAUGGACGCAACCAGCUCCUCCCAGAGAUAUGCAGCUAUUGCUGUGGCCAGUAAGUUGUCAGAUAUGCAGUUAGGAGAGUCUGUCAACAUCGCUCAGCUCACGAAGAAAGACCAGAAACAGGCCAGGCUGGAAUGUGAUCAGGAGUGUGCAACGCUGGAGAGAAAUCGGCGGCUUGCAGAGGCGCUGCAGGUUGACCCGACAGUUGAUCCAUUCAACACCAAAUCCACUACGUGUAAAUACAGCGACACACUCAAGGAGGAUGCCAGAAAGGAUUUUAAGUUUGUUAGUGAGGUGGAGGAGGAGAUCAAGAAUCUGGUUGAAUUAGCAAACAAGGGCAAACAGCCAAAGAAGAGUCACUGUUUCCCCCCCAUGAAGCGUGAUCAGCGGAGAAUUGUUCACGAGCUGGCAGAGGUGUACGGCUUAGAGAGCGUCAGCUUCGACAGCGAACCCAAACGCAACGUGGUGGUCACAGCCGUCAGGGGGAAAUCUGCAUGCCCUACCUCUACACUGACUGCACUGAUCGAGAGGGAGACUGCUGCCCGGGCCCCACCACCCAUCGCCCACAUCAAACAAUGCAGCAGCAAAUGCAAAACAUCUUUCUGAGGUUAUUUCUACAGCUGAUGUUUUUAGGGUGUAUCAGAACCACUCCACUGGGACACUAGCAGUGCUUGGCAGAAGCAUUCUAAAGAGGACCCUAUCGAUUACUUUGACGUUCAGGAUUGAUUAAAACUGUGAUGUAUACCCAGUGAAAGGGCACUGUUCACGUCACUGUAAUCAUAUCAAAUAAAACUAGGCACUUGUGGACUCUUCUAAUAAAGCUUCCUCUAAAGUA
RNA transcript from Clarias gariepinus (North African catfish), 3505 nucleotides. It is a transcript of the gene named nuclear transcription factor, X-box binding 1, with no coding region annotated. The record is from RefSeq and is a predicted model, not a curated record. Lineage: Eukaryota; Metazoa; Chordata; Actinopteri; Siluriformes; Clariidae. The transcript has 25 exons.